GUCUGUGUAUUGGGAACCGUCGCUGGUGCCUCACCAAAAUGCCGUGAUCAUGUCCUAAGUUGCCAGGCCAUGAUGCCUCUUCUGGGUCAAUUCAACGAGCAUCCAAUGGUGAGGAAAGCUGAACGGACAUUAUCAAAUUUCUGCAGAGGGAAGCCGCAACCAGCCAUUGAGCAGACAACACCAGCUUUACCAGUUCUUGAGCGUCUUUUACAUUCAGAUGACCAAGGAGUUCAGAUGCAUCCAGGGCUCUCUCAUAUCUCUCUCUGAUGGUACAAAUGAGAAAAUAUACAAACUGUUAUCGACUCUGGUAUCAUCCCUCGCCUUGUUCUGCUCUUAACUCAUCCGUCUCCUUCAGUUCUGGUUCCAGCUCUCCGUAUAUUGUUACCGGAGAUGAUAUGCAGACUCAGGCAGUUAUAAGUAGUCAUGCGCUUCCUGGUCUGUUAAACAUAUUGAACAACACAUACGAGAAGAGCAUCAAGAAGGAAACUUGCUGGACUAUCUCUAACAUUACAGCUGGGAACACAAUUCAAAUUCAACAAGUGAUUCAAGCUGGCCUUAUUCAGCCUCUGUUGGAUCUGCUUCAGACCAGUGAAUUUUGAAAUAAAAAGGAAGCACUUUGGGCAGCAAGUGAUUCAAGCUCAUGUUUUCUGUUUGGGAAUUGCCUAAAGUGCUUUCUUUUUAUUUCAAAUACAGGAACAGGCGCUCGUACACCGAUCAAGCAAAGGAGCAAGGGUUUAAUAGAAGUACACAAGGUGAUAACUGGGAGAAAGUCAAUCAGAUCAGAGACAAAUUUGAGUUUGAUAGAGAAAGGAGAAUGAGAGAUAAAGCACCGGGCUCUGAAGUCUCUAAAGACUUGAAUUGGAAUGCACAAAGAAGGCCCUUUGAUGCUGAGAGAUACACAAGAGACUGAAUACGUUAACAUCACAUGAGAGCAAGUAAUCGAGAUGGAGCUUGGCAUUGAUUUAUUAGAUAUUCCUGUGAACAUAAGUUAUCAUUACUUUGCACAAGUAUGUAUUCAGUUACAAGAUGACGUAGCGCGGGUCUUAAUGUUUUUCCAGGUUAUUGUGUCUCCUGGUAGUCCUAUGUGUAAUCCAUGUAAUGAAACGUAAAAUAACCUGUGUAAACCUUAAAUCCCGCGCUGAAAUUGUGUGUACGUGUUUAGAUCCCCGUUGGGUGCUUUAACGUGGGGACUUCU
Molecule: non-coding RNA, 1195 nt
Organism: Camelina sativa (false flax)
Lineage: Eukaryota; Viridiplantae; Streptophyta; Magnoliopsida; Brassicales; Brassicaceae
Source: RefSeq, a predicted model, not a curated record